RNAcentral lists this long non-coding RNA (612 nucleotides) under Volvox carteri. RNAcentral describes it as "long non-coding RNA (VCAR_LNC001234)". The record is from RNAcentral. Lineage: Eukaryota; Viridiplantae; Chlorophyta; Chlorophyceae; Chlamydomonadales; Volvocaceae.
CAUUCGGCCAUCCCAUGCCAUGCACAAGCCGUCCAGUGAGCCACCAGCAUCAGCAACACCAUCAGCCGUACAAUCCGCAACAAAUUCGCGUAUCGGGAACGGUCCAAGAGCCGCAAAAUCCUGUAAAUGUGUGUGUAUACGUCGCAAAUUUGAGUCGGGGUUUUCGGUUUUUUUCGGUUUUGAGAUACGGGCCCGCACCCGGGCACCCGGGCCCGGACCCAUUUGAGACACUCCUACGUUACGGCUGUACGGCACGAGAGUACGGCACGAGAGUACGGACCGAGGACAGUACGGUACGAGAAUACGAUGACAAAACAAAUUGCAAAAGGAAAACAAAAGCAAGAUGGCAGCGAGAGAAAACCAGCCUGGAAGUCUAAAACUCCCCCCUCAAGCUCACCUGAGCAAUCUCAGCAAUCGAGGUAAUCUCGCCAGCGCUACCAGCUGCCCGGCACGUGAAUUCCCCUCCAGGGUUAUGAACCCCUGGGGGAACAGAAAGAGAACCGCCAGUCAUACACGCACACAUACACACACGUACAAGUCGUACAAGCUCAACCGCAAUGUGAAACAGGCGGGCGUGCAACCGUGCAUCCCCCCAACACACACAUACACACA